Molecule: ribosomal RNA, 406 nt
Filed under: uncultured bacterium
Lineage: Bacteria
Description: partial 16S ribosomal RNA
Rfam family: Bacterial small subunit ribosomal RNA
Source: RNAcentral
AUUGAACGCUGGCGGCAGGCCUAACACAUGCAAGUCGAACGAGUGGCGGACGGGUGAGUAAUAUCUGGGAAACUGCCUGAUGGAGGGGGAUAACUACUGGAAACGGUAGCUAAUACCGCAUACCUUCAGAUGUGCCCAGAUGGGAUUAGCUUGUUGGUGGGGUAACGGGUCACCAGGGCGACGAUCCCUAGCUGGUCUGAGAGGAUGACCGGCCAAACGGGAACGGAGACACGGUCAAGACUCCUACGUGAGGCAGCAGGGGGGAAGAUUGGACAAUGGGCGCAAGCGUGAUGCAGCCAUGCCGCGUGGAUGAGUAGGGCCUUCGGGUUGUAAAGUACUUACAGCGGGGAGGCGUUACCUGCAGAAGAAGCACCGGCUAACUCCGUGCCAGCAGCCGCGGUAAUAC